CAGGCUAGGGGUUGAAUUGGAGCUGCAGCUGCUGGCCUACACCACGACCACAGCAAUGAGGGAUCCGGGCUGUGUCUGCCACCUACGCUGAAGCCUGUGGCAAUGCUAGAUCCUUAACCCACUGAGUGAGGUCAGUGAUCAAACCUGUGUCUUCAAGGAUACUAGUCGGAUUCAUUAUUUUAAAAUACGGUUCAGGCCCCAAAGAAUUCACAGUCAGUGAGCGGGGGAUGUACAAUAAUCAGAGGGACUCAGGGUAAGCACUUGGGGCUGAUGGGGCUCAGUGACGGCCUGGGGAGAUCAAGGCAGAAGUCCUCAUUUGGCUUAUGUUGUGCUGGGCGAGUUCCCCUCGAUCUGCCAGGUGACAGCAGAGCAUGAGAAGGCCAAGUGCAAGACCCAGCAGAAAUCUCCACUUCGGCACCUUGCCCACCGUGGUUUGGAAAAAAGAAUCCAAGCUUUAGAGUCAGACUGUGCCCUUGACUAACACUUUGGACAAUGGCCCUCGCCUUUGGGGCCUCAGUCUUCUUAGAUCUUUACAACGAGCCUCAGAGUUGUUUGUGAGAAAUAAAUAAAGCCCACAGUAGAAUGUUGGACACUCAAGAGGUGUGUUACUGUCUUGAUUAAGCGCAUCCUUAUCCAGGAUGUGUGCCAUUCUUAGAAAGCUCAAUGAGAAUGUUUUUUUUUCAAAAAAGCCCUGAAUCUGGAACAAACAUCAACUAAUUUCUCAUCUUCUGGCCUCUGCCUAGGGGGGUUCAGCACAUGGGUGCACCUGUGACCUGCGCGGCUCCUUAGAGAGAGCACUUUCUCCGCCCUGUUUCCUUCUGGCUGAGCAUCGUUCAGACGGUAGCUCCCAUUAGGUGACCCCUGGGCCCCUGAAUGAUUCCCUGAAUCAGGAUCACAGAGCCACUGCUGCCCCUUCCAUCAGCUAACAAAGCUCUUACAUGGGAGUUUCUCACUCCUCGUUUCCACAUCUGUUUUGGCCAGGGUAUGGUGAUGGUUAAUUUUAGGUGUCCACUUGACUGGUUCAUGGGGUGUCCAGAUAUUUAGUGAAGCAGUGUUUUCAGGCAUGUCUGUGAGAGUAUUUCUGGAUGAGCUUAGCAUUUGAAUCCACAGACUGAGUAAGGACUGCCCUUCCCAGUGUAGGUGGGAGUAAGGACUGCCCUUCCCAGUGUAGGUGGGCAGACACCACGCAACCCCUUGAGGGCAGGGAUAGAACAAAAAGGUGGGGGAAGGAAGAAUUCUCCCUCUGCCUGACUGCUUGAGCUGGGACCUCGGUCUCCUGCCCUUGAACUGGGAAUGAUACCACUGGUGCUCCUGGUCCGCAGGCCUGUGGACUUGGACCGGAACGACACCACCGGCUCUCCUCGGUCUCCAGCUGGCAGAUGGCAGACCAUGGGACUUCCUGGCUUCCAUAAUUGCAUGAGCCAACUCCUUACAAUCAAUCUCUUAAUAUAUACCUAUCCUAUGUGCUCUGUUUCUCUGGAGAGCCUCAUGCAGUCCCAUUCGGUGCCCAUUCAGGUGACCCGAUCCAGGCUCUCCCGGGCGGUCCUGCCUUGCUUCUAGGAGACCUUCUUCCAAGACUUCUUCCCGAGGUCCUUGGCCAAUGUGCCUAGAUUCCCGAGCAUGGAAUGUGGGGCCAGAUCCUCUGCCUGCAGCCCUCUUCCUCCCCCAGAGGCCAGCUGCCCUGUCUAGAGUCUGAUUCCCCCUCACCUGGCAGCUUCUGCCCAGCCUCAGGGAGUCAGCCUAGUGCCCAACAUUAACCCUUCCUCUUGCCCUGACAAUCAGGAAAAGCUUAGGGUGAGAAGGGAAUCUAAUUUAGAGGCCGGCACAAGUGACAUCACCAGCACAAACACGAAGCAUGGAGAAGACCAGAUAAUUUCCCCAAGCAAGGACCACCUCUUCUAUCAGUGCUUUUGUAAAAUCCAGGACUCCCACUGCCAUCCUGAUUCAGGAAGCCAAACUCUGACCACAGUUCUGCCCUCAGUUUUCUUCCUUUCGAUGAAACCAACCCCCUUCCCUUUGAGAGGGACCCCAGCUGACUUCCCACCUCCACGCAUCUUUGUAUGAAAGUUGGCAGGCAGUGGCCCAGUGGCCUGCACAGUCCUCCUGACAAAUGAGAAUCCAAGCCACUGGCCCUUGGAGGAGCUUAGAUGAUUACAGGCCCACUGCCCAUAAAUCCAGAGAAAUGGGAUGGGCCCCUCUGUCCUGGGGAACAUGCAGUCCAAUUCUUAGCACCCUGAUUUCCAGAUCUUUGGCUCGGAGAGACCCAGAGAAGUCACUGAGAGUAUCCCCUCUCUCUCUAAGCCCUGUGCCUUCCCCCUGCUGGCCCCCCUCUGCCAGGAGACUCUUUCCCCUGUGGUGGGAUGAGGUUUUCCAAGUCAGGGCUCUGCACAAGAGAGGCAGCUGCUGGACCAUCCCACCUACCCUGAGGGCUGCUCCUGGAAAAGCUCAAAAGAAGGGGGUGGGUGGGUGAUGCUUACUGCACCCCUGCCAUGUGCCAGGCGAUUCCCCACUCCAUUCUGUAAUAAACUUGAUCCACAGAGAGAAUUUACCCUCACUUUCGGAGGAGGAAAUUGAGGCAGCGCUUUCCCACUGUCUGAUAACAGGCACUUAAUAAACGCUUAUCAGCCUGAACUUACCUCCAAGCUCUUGAGAAAUGACACCGUUUUCUGAAAAUGUGCAGAACCGUAACUCUUAUGAUCCGUGUAGUCUGUUCUACUGACUGAGGUAUAAAGGCGGUGCAAGAAGGCGAUGACUGAGUUUUGGGCACAUGCGUACAGGAGAGGGUCUAACUGUCCAUCAUACGGACACUCUUCCAUCCAGAGAACAGAACUGAAAGUGGCCGCUCAGCCAAGGACUACAUUUCCCAGCUUCCCCUGCAGCCAGGUGGGACCAUGGAACUGGAUCUCAGGGAUGAGACUCAAUACCUUCUCAGCCCAGAGGGUAGGGAAGCAGGUCUGCCUUCUUCACCCUUUUCUCCUCUUUUGCGGGCGGCUCUGAAGCGCCAGAAGAUGGAAGAACCAUCAUCUAGAAGGAGUCUGGGUCUCUGAAUCAUUCCCCAAAGGCUGCCUGCCUCUGACUGAUACAGAGACGAUCACGCCUACUUACGCCUCUGAAAACUGUGAGGUUUUCUACUCUAACUGCCCUUACCCUUAAUAACAGACUUGAUGUGGCUUAUCGUUUCAUGCAUCUUUCGGGGUGGACAUUCAGGGCAAGCUAAUCCUUCAGGGGACAGGGGGCUCUGAUUAAGUGCUCUCUGGACUCCUUCCCUCAUCUCCUUCACCAGGAGCAGCCACAUCCGAUGUCCCCGAGCCCUUCCUAGCGCCCCUGCAUUUCUCAUGAUGUCUCCCCGGGUUCCUGUGCCCUUUCACAGUUAAUAUCCUACCUUCACAACACCCUCAAAAGCCCCCCCCUCAGAGGAGCGCUCCCCAGGCCUCUCUAGUGCUGAUCUGGCUCAUCCUGAGGUUCUCUCUCUGACGUGUCCUUCCCCACCCAGCCCUCCACUGAUCCCUCCCCCGGUGUCGUUCCACUGGCCCCGUCAGGGCAGGUCUGGUGCAGGCAGGCGGAGGAAGUGGCUGGAGGUGGGCAUGUCCUCUGGAGGGACCUCCUGGAAGGCGGGUGACCAAGAUUCCGAGGCCAAAGCGGGCUGGGUGGGAAAGGGGCUGCGUGGGCAGUCAGUGUUAGGGUGCAGAGGGAGGAGCUGCUCUCUGCCGGAUGCCCAGAUUAAACAUCGAUUACAGCUCAGGAAGCACCCCAUAGGCUCCUGACCUCACACACAGUCAUAGCCCAGGCCCUGAUGGGUGCCCUUAAGGCCCCACGACCCAGCUGCCCUGGUACGGCUGCCGCUCUGGCCUCCUCGCCACUCUGCUCUCCUGUGCCCCCUAAAGCCACAGGCCCUGCCCUGCCUCUGGGUCUCCGCACAGCACGUCCACUGCUGGCAGACGUCCUUUCCCAUUUGACUCACCCCCUCAUCGCCUUUACUCCUUUGUUCCACUGUCACCUCCUCACUUACUUUUCUACCACCCUGUUUCAAACUGCAAACUCCUUGGGGUUAGCAGAUGCAAACUAUUGCAUGUGGCCUGGAUAGGCAAUGAGAUCCUGCUGUACAGCACAGGGAACUAUAUCCAGUCACUUGUGAUGGAACCUGAUGGAGGAUAAUGUGAGAAAAAGAAUGUUUAUAUAUAUGUAUGACUGGGUCACUCUGUUGUACGGCAGAAAUUGACAGAACAUUUAAAAUCAACUAUAAAAAAGGUAAAAAAAAAAUAAAGACAUAAAAUUACCAACUGCCUCCCCGCUGACCUCUCUACCUCGUUUGUUCCCCAUUUCCCUCCAUCGCACGUCUUCUCUCCAGUCUUUUUUACUACCUAACAGACUCUGACAAUCUAAUUUAUUUCUCUGCUCACGAGGGCAGGGGUUUUACUGUCAUUUCUCCAGGGCUUAGCACAGUCCCCGGCACCAAGGAAACUGUCCAUACAUAUUUGCUGAAAAAACUGAUAGCAACCAAGUGCAUCUGGGACGGGGACUUACCCGCGGUGCCAUUUCCACGUUACAGUGAAAAGCUGCCCUUGGCCUCAGCAUCUCAUUUAAAUGUUAUCUCCGGGGUGCUAGGGCCAGCAGGACCCGGGGAGCCACUGCCCCACCACUCCGUCAUAGCUUACUCACAAUGCAGGAGGAAGCCACUAUCGCCCUGCUGGCACUGGCAAGGGGCGGGGGAGGCCACUGGAACUUGAGAAUCCAUUUAUCUAUUAAUUUAUUAUCUAAUUAAGGCCCACAGUGACAGCGCUAUUUGUUCCAAAAUGCCCUCCAACUAAACCAAUACAGCGUAUGCGCCUUCUAAUCAAUUAAAACGGUUCUCCGAGAAGUCGGCCUUCAGCAGCCAGUAACCGCUGCACUCCCAGGUCCAGGGCAGGGAGAGGCCUCGUCACUUCAUUAGGCCCCAAAUGAUCUAACUGCACACUGGCCACCUGGGCUCUUCUUAGAGGGCCAGAGGCAGCUGUUCCAGGGUCCCAGUGAUGAGUGAGCAAGACCCUUUUGGCGGAGAACUGCCUUUUACCUACCAUUUGCAAAUCGAGUUAUAACUACAGAGAACGCAGGCACUGGGAGUUAAGACGCUGGGCAAGGACCAGCUAGAGAGACAUACUGCAGCCCUGGCCCAGGGCUGAGACUUUUACAGCCAGGGAGGCUGAGGCAGCUCUGGAGCUGCAGGCAGCUCUGUACGGGGCUAACGGACUUGAACCAUGCUCUGGACUUGAACCAUGCUCUGGCCCUUCCGGGCAGACUGUAGCACAUGCAUUCCAUGAUGUGUGGCACGUCUUCUGACGCAUGGACCGACUGGCAUACUCACGCAUCCUCUCGCCCACCCAGACACCACCCACUCAGCUUUGUCAUGGCUUCACUCUACACCAGUUGGGUGGUGUGCUUCUAAGAAGCUGGGAGCCCCUUUAGGGCUGAUCCAUCCUUGUGUCUUGGGCCCUGGCACAGGGCCCCAGGAAACACAUGUUGAACUGAACUGAACUAAAAAUAUCUCGUUAGGCUGCUGGGAGAAAAUACACCUAAGUACGCAGCUCAGUAACUGGUAAUAACGCUAAUGGUCCCAGCCACGCGCUAAGGGCUUACGGCCUGCCGGGCACGGUCUACAGACUUUAUGCCUAUUGAGGCCUGGACUCCUCACAGUGACUGUAGGGGGUAAGUAUGAUUUUUAUCACCUCUGGAAUGAGGCAGAGCUGGGAUUUGAACCCGGGCAGUUUGGCUCCUGAGUCCUUGGUCUAAGCCACUAUAAUUGUCAUGAGUUUUGCUGAACUGAGUGCUACCAGGAACCAGUGUAACCAAAGGAUGCUCCACUGACCACAGAGGUGCAAGGCCACCUCUUUCCAGUUCACAUGUGGAUCACCAAUGAACGGGAAAAGCUUGACUGCUGACUUCUUAAGACAAAAGCCGCGUGUGUGUGUGUGUGUGUGUGUGUGUGUGUUCUAAGAGACAUCUUUAUUGUUCAAUUCCCCCACAGUGCAAAAACUAUUCAAUUAACAACAGGUAAUAAAAUUUUACGCCACAGCUUUCGAAUAAGGUCCAUUAAUGAGAAAGAACCAAAGAAAAGAGCAGAAAGAAUUCCACAGUAUUUGAGAGUCUGCUGUGUGUCAAGCACUGUGCUCACUGCUAGAGGCAUCAUGCUGAAUGAAAGAGACAUGGUUCCUGCCCUCAUGGAGCUUAUGGUCUGGUGAGGAGAUGGACAAUGCACAGAAACACAACAAGCAGCCAAACACGAAUGCUUGCAGUGCUGUAACAGAUAUAAAUAAACAGGACACUUGAGGAGGAUACCAAGGUAUUAACUCAAAUCAGGAUGUGGGAAAAGGCCUCUCUGAGAAGGUGACAAUUAGGUUGAAGCUUCAGGAAUGAAAAGGACAAAGAUGCCAAGGGAGAUGGAAGAGCUCUUUCUAAGAAGUGGAACAGUAUGUGUCAAGGUCAAAGGCAAGGACAAGCUUGAUGCGUCAAGGACCUGUGAGUGUGGGGAGGGCAGGUUCAGUGGGGUGGCAGGACUGAGCCAGGCUGAAUCACCAGUGUUGGACAGGCAUGUGCGCUAUGGCCAAGGCUCUGGAUUUUAUGUUAAGAAAAUGAAGGGAAGGCAGGGAAGGGUUUAAGCAGGGACAAAACAGUGCUGCAAUUUCUAUCUUUCAAAGAUCUACUGUGUAGGAGACACGAGUAGAAAGCAGAAGA
This 6708-nucleotide long non-coding RNA is filed under the name Sus scrofa (pig). Its description in RNAcentral is "lncRNA (ENSSSCG00025013309.1)". The record is from RNAcentral. Lineage: Eukaryota; Metazoa; Chordata; Mammalia; Artiodactyla; Suidae.